UGGGAACAUUUUGGCUACAGAUGACA
RNAcentral lists this non-coding RNA (26 nucleotides) under Homo sapiens (human). Lineage: Eukaryota; Metazoa; Chordata; Mammalia; Primates; Hominidae. The record is from RNAcentral.